This is a long non-coding RNA of Hipposideros armiger (great roundleaf bat), 3681 nucleotides long. RefSeq lists it as uncharacterized. The transcript has 3 exons. The record is from RefSeq and is a predicted model, not a curated record. NCBI's taxonomy places the organism in Eukaryota, Metazoa, Chordata, Mammalia, Chiroptera, Hipposideridae.
ACUUAGGAGUGUUGGUGUUUCCUCUGAGCUCCAGCUGAAGCAUGAGGUGUUUCCUGUUUUCCACUCUUCUAUAAUCUGAAGUCAUGCUUUGCCAUGGAAAGUGCUGAAAGGAAAAACAAAACAGCUUUCAAUUAAAAGGAGAAAAGUGUUCAGAUGAGGAGCAGGCUGAAGAUAUGAAGGUUGGUUUGCUGUCGGAUUGGGUGCCUGCUCUGUCCCCGCAGGACACAGCCCCACUCAGCCCACCUCAGCAAGGGGCACAUCUAAACAUCCGCAGAGAGACUUCCAGAAAAAGAUGCUGCGAUUUGUUUUCCACUCAGCAGCUGAUGGACUUUUCAGUUGUUUCCAGUUUUUGACCAUUGUGAAUAAAGCUGCUUUGGACAUUCUCAUGCGGAGCUCGUGCAAACAUAUGUCCUCGUUUCCUGUGAGUAGAGGCGUGGAAUGCUGAAUUAUAUGAAGAGGACGCCCCGCUGUCCAAGACGCCACCAAGCUGCUUACAAAGCCAGGUUUCUGAUCAGUGCCUAUCGGCGGCCUUACGCUUUUUGGUCUAGUAAAUCGCCUCUGCCUUUUAAAUGGAACACCUAGACUGUUUAUGUUUUGCACGAUUACGGAUGUGGGAGGGUUUAAUUCUACCCUCUGCCUAAUGCUUUCCACGUGUCCCAUCUGACCUUUCUUUCUGUUCCCUCAUUUUUGUGUGCCUUCUUUAGGAUUGAGUGUAUUUUUAUAGUUCCAUUUUAUUUAACCUGUCAGCUGACCAUUCUGCUUUUCAGAAAUUUUUGGUGGUUGUGGAGGAGAUGUGGCUUUCACUGUGACCCCUCAUUCAGAGGUGACAGGUUUUGCUUUGGAUCUGGGGCCCUGCAGGGGCCCAUCUGGGAGCUGCAGCCUCUGCGGGCUUCCUGCCUGUGUGCCCCCAGGUGGGGGGCACAUUCGUUCCACCUUGUGAGUACUUGGCAGUGGGUGCAGCCUGGGAAGAGCAGGCUCUCCUUGUGUCCAGCCGGCACCCUAGCCGAUAUUUAUUUGCCUUUCAGAACCCGUAGACCCCCUCAGCCACAUUCCUUUUGUCAGAUUUCAGGGCCAGAAUGCUUUAGUCUAGAACCAUUGGAGGCUUUCUGUUUUGCUUCACUUUGUUUAGUGCAAGGAGCAGAUGGUGUAAUGCUAGUGAACAGAUGGAGGAGAAACCAGAAUGACUCAGUUUAUACUUUAUUUUUCACUUUCUUUAUAUAAAAAUGGUGUUCAGACAGAAAGGACAGAGCAAACUUGUGGGAGCUGAAGUCCCAAAUAGUCAGAAAAUAAUGUGAGAACACCUGCUUUCUGUAAGAGAACAGUGUGAUUCAGACAAUCAAAAAGGCCUCGGAAAGGAGAUUGCAAAGCUCUUGGAGGCAAUCUUUGUGGGAUGUUGAGGAACAAGAGAGAGACCAGCGGGCAAGAGACGGACAGAUGUCCUAGCUUUCAAAAUGAGGGUAGGGGCCACUUAGAGGACUGCAGACGAGCCUUCUCUCCAUCUCUUGGUGGACAGUUUUAGUCUAGAUGCUUCAGGAACACCCAGGAAAGAAGGAACUAGCAUUGGCUCACUUAAAAGAAAAAGCCAUGUCAAGGUGACCUUGUUUCCUGAGAAUAAUGUGUUAGUACGUGGGGGGAGCUGCAUGUAUCUUCACUUGGGUCAGGAUUGAGCUCCCUGAGGACAAAGGGGAGAACAAUGGGUUACAAAUAACACCCUUUGGUGAGUUCAAAGCUGGCUGGAGAAUUAUGCCCAAUGGAGUUACAAUGGGACAGAGAAGAACAGUGGUCUUCCCUGGGGCUUUGUCCUUGCAUCUGUCCUGCUCAAAAUUGAUUAUCAAUCAUCUAAAUAAUGACAGCUGUCAUGAUGCCCGUGGAGAGCCCUCUGUCUAAAAUAAUAAAAACGAGGUUACAAGAUACCCAUGCGAUAAGCCAGGAUGACAGUGCAGAGGAUACAAUUUUUUCUUUUUCUUCCUUAUGUGAUCCUGAUGGGGCUGAUGACAGAAGCAGUCUAACAGAGGUCUUUGUGUCACUGUCAGCAUGCAGACCCUUCCCUUUCUCCCGCAACCUCCCUGCAUUUGGGAAGAUAUACACAGCUGUGCGGUGAGGAUGAAGCCAGAAGCAGAGAGAGCCAAUGAAAACUUAAGCUAUAAAAAUAAAACCUGAACUCGAUAAUAAUAUGAAACCUUUGCAAUAGUGAAUUGCUUCUGAAACCAGGACCGGAAACACGUCACAUCCUGCAUGUAACUUUUGUCAUGAGACUAAGCAGAGAGCUGAAAAGCUUCCCAAAGGCUGGCUGACUCCUCAGCCUUGCCCGACCUUAGAACAGACCCAAACUCCCCAGAGAUCGCAGGAACUCUAGAGGAGGGCUUCUACCAAAAUGAGGGCACAGGGAGGGUUUCUGGUGGCUCACGGGGGUCCUCCUGCAGGGAGUGACCGGCAGAGCCACCUGUGUGCCAAGGCUGCGUGAGGUGAGCCUGAGAGUGCCUGGAAUGCAGGGUGGACCUGCCCACUUUCUGCACAGUUCCUCAGAGCUCAGGGUUAGUGCUUUUGGCAAGUGUAUAGAAAACAGUAGAUAGGGUGUUAAAAAUAUUUUGCAAUGCCACAGUGCCGUCAAGCCAUCAACCAUAUGUGCAGCAAGCAUUUUAAUUUUUUAAAGUUUUCUUACAUGUUUUACCAAUCUUUGUUGAAAACAUUCAUAUUGGUCUUGUUUUAAGCUCUUACUGACAAGGCAUAAUUGAACAGAAGCCCCAUUUUCUAUCUCAAACAAAAUGUUUUCAUGAGGAGCGCCUGGGACUGGUCUAACCAGUCUGUAGGUCAACAGGUCAGCGUGUGAUAACUGGCGAGUCUGCAAACCAUGGCGGCAGAGCAGAGCUGACGCGUUUCAAACAACCCCUUCAACAACCGUGGGAGUUGGGGUCGCCGUGCCACUCACUCGGAAACCCAGGGAAAAGACGGGCCCCUGCUCUUGUGAAGAAUAUUGAUCCAAUUCACCAAGUAUUGAAAUAUUUGAGAAAUGUUUUACUACAGUGAAAACAUUAAGGCGAGCAGAGGUGGAGGCAGUGGGUCAGCUCAGUUCUCCGGCGGUGGGAACCUGGCCUCUCGCCUCCUGAAGCAGCCUGAUCAAAUCCACUCCUCACUGCUGCGCCUCCUCAGCCCUUCUCAUCAGCUCCUUCUCCAGUGGCUUGGGGUUUGAUGUGAAGCACCUGACGCGUUAGCACUUUCAGCGGACCUCGGUUCCCUGUGGACACCGAGACCAGAACACAUCCUCGGCGCACCCACUGUUCACUCGGCCAUUCCCCACAUGACUCCCACGCCACACAGGCAAACCCAGCCGACGAACGAGGCAGCAGAUCUUUUCUAGCUGCUUAUUCAGUGGGGUUCUGGUGUCGCCUGGGCAGAUUCACUUUUUACAAAACACGUUGACAACCUUGCUUUUGGACCUCUAGAAACUCAGAGUGAAGUGUAUGGGCUUGCCUCUGGACCUCGGGCAAGGACCAGAGAAGGGGCUGCUGCUGCUUUCUUGUGCUAAAUCAGGAUGCUUUCCUUUUAUAGCAUUUAAAAAACUUUCCCAGAAAACAUUGGCGUUACCCUGUGUCAUGUAUUUAAGUGCACAAUGUUAGACUCUCUUAAAAGAAUGUUGAAAAGACUGUAUUUUAAAAUAACAAGCAUGGGGAAAAGACUGUU